CUCUGGUAUUGAUUGGUGCUUGCAUCAUGAUUUACAUUUGAGUGAGUGGCGAACUGGUGAGUAACACGUGGGAAACCUGCCCAGAAGCGGGGGAUAACACCUGGAAACAGAUGCUAAUACCGCAUAACAACUUGGACCGCAUGGUCCGAGCUUGAAAGAUGGCUUCGGCUAUCACUUUUGGAUGGUCCCGCGGCGUAUUAGCUAGAUGGUGGGGUAACGGCUCACCAUGGCAAUGAUACGUAGCCGACCUGAGAGGGUAAUCGGCCACAUUGGGACUGAGACACGGCCCAAACUCCUACGGGAGGCAGCAGUAGGGAAUCUUCCACAAUGGACGAAAGUCUGAUGGAGCAACGCCGCGUGAGUGAAGAAGGGUUUCGGCUCGUAAAACUCUGUUGUUAAAGAAGAACAUAUCUGAGAGUAACUGUUCAGGUAUUGACGGUAUUUAACCAGAAAGCCACGGCUAACUACGUGCCAGCAGCCGCGGUAAUACGUAGGUGGCAAGCGUUGUCCGGAUUUAUUGGGCGUAAAGCGAGCGCAGGCGGUUUUUUAAGUCUGAUGUGAAAGCCUU
RNAcentral lists this ribosomal RNA (568 nucleotides) under Lactiplantibacillus plantarum. RNAcentral describes it as "bacterial SSU rRNA". It matches the Rfam family "Bacterial small subunit ribosomal RNA", at positions 70 to 604 of the family's 1533-position model. Lineage: Bacteria; Bacillati; Bacillota; Bacilli; Lactobacillales; Lactobacillaceae. The record is from RNAcentral.